This 253-nucleotide non-coding RNA is filed under the name unclassified sequences. RNAcentral describes it as "PAGEV RNA". It matches the Rfam family "PAGEV RNA". The record is from Rfam by way of RNAcentral.
GCGCGUCUGGAUCAAGAUGGGGCGUUCGUUCGCCUAUUGGGCCGCAGUGCGUAAAACCACCCACAAGGGGAUCUUCUCAGGGUGGUCGGUAUAGCCGGGAGGUACGAACCUGGAAACAGGUCGAGAAGGCAAUGGCAGGGCGGCGUAUUACCCAGACACAGGCGCCGUCGACUGUCCCAAAACCUACCCCCGCCGUGCGCCGAGAAGGGCCGAGGGCGCUUGUAACGCAUAACCUCGAAAGCGCGGAACGCCA